This 419-nucleotide ribosomal RNA is filed under the name bacterium. RNAcentral describes it as "partial 16S ribosomal RNA". It matches the Rfam family "Bacterial small subunit ribosomal RNA", at positions 355 to 776 of the family's 1533-position model. The record is from RNAcentral.
UGGGGGAUAUUGCACAAUGGGCGAAAGCCUGAUGCAGCGACGCCGCGUGGGGGAUGAAGGCCUUCGGGUUGUAAACUUCUUUUGCUCUGAACAAGGCGCACCAUGGGGUGUGUUGAGUGUAGGGGUUGAUUAGCGCCGGCUAACUACGUGCCAGCAGCCGCGGUAAUACGUAGGGCGCGAGCGUUGUCCGGAAUUAUUGGGCGUAAAGGGCUUGUAGGUGGCUGGUUGCGUCUGUCGUGAAAGCUCAUGGCUUAACUGUGGGUUUGCGGUGGGUACGGGCUGGCUUGAGUGCAGUAGGGGAGGGUGGAAUUCCUGGUGUAGCGGUGGAAUGCGCAGAUAUCAGGAGGAAUACGGGUGGCGAAGGCGGGUCUCUGGGCUGUGACUGACACUGAGGAGCGAAAGCAUGGGGAGAGAACAGG